CCUAGGGAAGCAAGAUGGGACCAAAUUAUCAGUGGAGGAAGAGCUCCUCAAGUGUGCCUCCUCUCUCAAGCUCUGAUGGGAGGAGUGAGCUGCAAUAAUAGGAGAACAACGAAAGUGUCACUAGGGAGCGGAUCUCGAACUUCGAAAGCGAGAUGGCCAACUAGGAUGAAAGAAAUCACCUAGGGGUUCGACUCCAUACAAUUUUAUUGCCGCUCCAUCACUUAUUGUAGUUGCUGCACACUAUCACUCAGCACCUAGAUUUGGUGACCCAGGGCUUUUGAGCGAUGAUGGAUCUAUUAUGGUCAGAGGUUGCACAGUAAUCGACCCCAGAUAG
This 334-nucleotide long non-coding RNA is filed under the name Elaeis guineensis (African oil palm). RNAcentral describes it as "long non-coding RNA (EGUI_LNC019074)". The record is from RNAcentral. Lineage: Eukaryota; Viridiplantae; Streptophyta; Magnoliopsida; Arecales; Arecaceae.